AGCUGUUGGCAGUAGAGCUGUUGGAAGUAGAGCUGUCUGAAGUAGAGCUGUUAUAAAAAGCUGUUUGCUGUUUGGUAAUUACAUUCGUAAAGUGCUGUGGUACUUUGUUUUGUGUUUGGUAAACAAACUGAGAAAGUACUUUUGUAUGACAAAAUUACCAUAAAGAACAUUGCAUAGUAUUAUACAACAGAACAUAAUAAAACAUAACAUAAAUUAAUACAUAAAUAUAUGAUAUAGUAUAAUAUUAUUGUAAUAUAAAAUAAUAUUAUGUUAAUAUCGCAUAAUAGUAAUAUAAUUAUUAGAGUAAAAUAAUAUUUGGUAAUAUAACAUAAUAUUAAAUUAUUUAACAUAACAUAUUAAUGUAUUAUGAUAUAAUGUAAUAUAUAUUAUAUUUAUAGUAUAAUACAAUAAUAAAAGUAUAAAAUAUUAUAAUUAUUAGUAUAAAUUAAUUUCUUAUAAUAUA
Molecule: long non-coding RNA, 463 nt
Filed under: Phoenix dactylifera (date palm)
Lineage: Eukaryota; Viridiplantae; Streptophyta; Magnoliopsida; Arecales; Arecaceae
Description: long non-coding RNA (PDAC_LNC010606)
Source: RNAcentral